GUCCCGACGUUAUCGGAGAUGUGAAGUGGCCUCUGUGAACUCCAAAUGACGGAAAUCCGUCGUAGCGACGGAGAACUUUAAUCCAUGUCUUGAUGGGAAGCAAAAUUACAACCCAAAACAUACUAAUAAGCAUGAACAAACAAGUCUCACACCAAAAUGUAGCAUAACUAAGUUGGUCCACACGGGGGAAAUCAACGUUUUUUCACCUAGAGACUCCAUUCCAAUGUUCAGAUUAGCUUGGAAUCGCACUUCCUUUCAGAAGGCGAAGCCGUCCGCCCAUUCUCCAACACUUCAACUACUUCAGACUUCGUAACUUGAACAGACACAACGCAGCGAUAUCAGUAGUGAGGAGUUCUAACUGGAAAGACGGUGAAAUCCGCAAGUUGCUGAUAAUGUCAGAGAGAAGGUGACGCAGCCGCUUGAAACGAAGAUGGGGAAAGAUGGCGCGAUCUACGAAAGACGCAGAGGAACAUUUCUUUCGAGGCUUUUGUUGGGUUAAAAAACAAGUGGUCAUUCAUCCUCUUCCGGUUCCGCAACCUCAGGGUGUCAGAGGGUACGGUGGGGGCUCGACCCGGAGGUGGCAACACUGUGGUGCUGGAAGGCCCAGCUGAGGGAGCCCCGUCUGAUAACGCUGGUGAGGGAGCACCGUUGGACUGCCUCAGUGCACCGGGUAUGCCUGUCACCACUCCAGCACAAUCGCUCUUCACACCGGGUGGCUCCACGUCAUUGUCUCCCCCAAGCAGCUCGUCCAUCUCCCUGUAGAAUUGGAAGCGGAAAGGCCUCUUUUCUUUCAACACGUUCUUCUGCUUGACUUUCUCAUAUCUCUCCACCAGCGUCAACCACUUGCGCGCCACCUUGUCGGUCUGGAAGUCCUCCUUGAACUGUCCGGCAAGCUUCCCAGUCAUCUCCUCCCACAGCAGCUUCUUUGGCUUCUUGCCCAGCCUCAGCCGCCUGUUGAGGUCAUCGAGGGACUUAACAGGUAUCCCGCCCUCUACCUCAAGGUGGACCUUCAUCAGGUGGAUGAGGAAGUGUGUCUGAGCUUUGGUAAAACCCUCAUUCACCGGCAGUGGUGCAGUUGGCUUGAUAUUGCAGGUAUCUGAAUCAUAAAAAGGAAACAUGUCAGCACAGUACUUGCAGCUCCCAGGGAUAAAUGACUGUUGAAGUACGCUCAUGUCAACAGUGUAAUGCU
Long non-coding RNA from Gadus morhua (Atlantic cod), 1189 nucleotides. The record is from Ensembl. NCBI's taxonomy places the organism in Eukaryota, Metazoa, Chordata, Actinopteri, Gadiformes, Gadidae.